RNAcentral lists this ribosomal RNA (260 nucleotides) under Mycobacterium tuberculosis. Its description in RNAcentral is "partial 16S ribosomal RNA". It matches the Rfam family "Bacterial small subunit ribosomal RNA", at positions 663 to 913 of the family's 1533-position model. Lineage: Bacteria; Bacillati; Actinomycetota; Actinomycetes; Mycobacteriales; Mycobacteriaceae. The record is from RNAcentral.
UGGACCGCGAUCUGGGCGGCGAUCUUGUUGUCGAUCGUAAGAUGGAUCCUGUCGCUGUCGGCGACCACAGGCAUCAUUCCCGCCACGGAUACUGAGAGACGAAAGCUAGGGGAGCGAAUGGGAUUAGAUACCCCAGUAGUCCUAGCCGUAAACGAUGGAUACUAGGCGCUGUGCGUAUCGACCCGUGCAAUGCUGUAGCCAGCUGUUGAAGGAUCCCGGCGUGGGGGCACGUUUGCUGGAGAUAUUCUCAAGACAAGCGA